This 323-nucleotide ribosomal RNA is filed under the name Streptococcus parauberis. Its description in RNAcentral is "bacterial SSU rRNA". It matches the Rfam family "Bacterial small subunit ribosomal RNA", at positions 19 to 332 of the family's 1533-position model. Lineage: Bacteria; Bacillati; Bacillota; Bacilli; Lactobacillales; Streptococcaceae. The record is from RNAcentral.
UUGGCUCAGGGACGGACGCUGGCGGCGUGCCUAAUACAUGCAAGUAGAACGCUGAAGACUGGUGCUUGCACUAGUCAGAUGAGUUGCGAACGGGUGAGUAACGCGUAGGUAACCUACCUCAUAGCGGGGGAUAACUAUUGGAAACGAUAGCUAAUACCGCAUGACAAUUAAGUACUCAUGUACUAAAUUUAAAAGGAGCAAUUGCUUCACUAUGAGAUGGACCUGCGUUGUAUUAGCUAGUUGGUGAGGUAACGGCUCACCAAGGCCACGAUACAUAGCCGACCUGAGAGGGUGAUCGGCCACACCUGGACUGAGACCGCCCA